Molecule: non-coding RNA, 148 nt
Filed under: Nomascus leucogenys (northern white-cheeked gibbon)
Lineage: Eukaryota; Metazoa; Chordata; Mammalia; Primates; Hylobatidae
Source: Rfam by way of RNAcentral
GCCGGGUGUGGUGGUGCACAUCUGUAAUCCCAGCUACUCAGGAGGCUGAGACAGGAGAAUUGCUUGAACCCGGGAGGCAGAGGUUGCAGUGAGCUGAGAUCACGCCACUGGACUCCAGCCUGAGUGACAGAGCAAGACUUUGUCUCAA